AUGAACAUUGCUCUCUUGACCCGUUGGCUCUGGCGUAUUGCCAAUGGGGAGGGAGGCCUCUGGCUCACCAUUGUCCGGAAUAAGUACCUUCGGGGCCAACCUUUAGCUUUCUGUCAGCGCUCCGGUGGCUCCCAGUUCUGGUAGGCCGUGAUCCAGCUUCUCCCCGUGCUGCGUAUUGGCACGUCCAUCUUGGUUGGCUCCGGAUCCGCGACCCUGUUUUGGUUCGAUCGAUGGGUUGGCUACUCACCCCUGGCCGCACGAUUCCUUGCCAUUGCGGAGGAUCCUAGGAUCUCUGUCGAGACAGCCCUUAUUGACUUAGGGCGUCUCGCUUUCCGGCGUCCCUUCGGCCCUCUGGAGAUGGCCGCUUGGGACUCCCUUCUCCAAGACAUCGCCCUUCUCUUGAUGGAUGUCGAGGACACUUCUGACUCCGUCUCUUGGCGCCUGGAGCCCUCUGGCCGCUUCUCCACGAAGUCCUUAUACUCGGCCAUCGCUCCGUCGACGGCCCCUGAGCCCUUUAGCCUGAUAUGGAAUAUUUGCUUGCCCCUAAAGAUCAGGAUCUUCAUGUGGCAGUGGAUGCGAGGACGCCUUCCCUCUGGGAUGUCCUCAAGCGCAAUGGACCUGGCGACAGGAUGUGCCCCAUGUGUGACACGGUGGAGGAUGCUAACCACAUCUUCUUCUCCUGCACCACAGCACAGUUCCUGUGGUCCUGCUUCCACGAGACGGUCGGUGGACAAUGGUGUAAUACCAACUUCCCUGACCUAUUUGCGAAGAUCCACGCCUCCCCUCCUAGCCACCGUCAUAUUAGACGGCUAUGCGUUGGGGUCCUUGCUUGGACGCUUUGGACUAUUCGCAACAAGCUGGUUAUUUAGAAGACUCCUCUCCGCCGUGCGACUGAUGCGAUCUUCAAACUAUGUGGUUACUUGCAGCUCUGGCGGCCGCUUAGCCGCCCCCAGGACCAGGACGCCACCAACACCCUCCUCGCCGACCUUCGCUCGAUGGCCUUCCGCUUGGCGCCCCCGCCGCCGCCCCCUCCUCCGGAGCCCGAUUAGACUUGUUACUCGGGUUGUUGUGUGUGAGUGUGUUGUUUUGUGUUCAGGGCUUGUUGAGCUGCACCCUCAGCAUUAA
This 1125-nucleotide ribosomal RNA is filed under the name Triticum aestivum (bread wheat). RNAcentral describes it as "partial small subunit ribosomal RNA". Lineage: Eukaryota; Viridiplantae; Streptophyta; Magnoliopsida; Poales; Poaceae. The record is from RNAcentral.